RNAcentral lists this ribosomal RNA (497 nucleotides) under uncultured bacterium. Its description in RNAcentral is "partial 16S ribosomal RNA". It matches the Rfam family "Bacterial small subunit ribosomal RNA", at positions 28 to 507 of the family's 1533-position model. The record is from RNAcentral.
GAUGAACGCUGGCGGCGUGCCUAAUACAUGCGAGUCGAGCGAACAGACGAGGAGCUUGCUCCUCUGACGUUAGCGGCGGACGGGUGAGUAACACGUGGAUAACAUACCUAUAAGACUGGGAUAACUUCGGGAAACCGGAGCUAAUACCGGAUAACAUGUUGAACCGCAUGGUUCAACAGUGAAAGACGGUCUUGCUGUCACUUAUAGAUGGAUCCGCGCCGCAUUAGCUAGUUGGUAAGGUAACGGCUUACCAAGGCAACGAUGCGUAGCCGACCUGAGAGGGUGAUCGGCCACACUGGAACUGAGACACGGUCCAGACUCCUACGGGAGGCAGCAGUAGGGAAUCUUCCGCAAUGGGCGAAAGCCUGACGGAGCAACGCCGCGUGAGUGAAGAAGGUCUUCGGAUCGUAAAACUCUGUUAUUAGGGAAGAACAAAUGUGUAAGUAACUAUGCACGUCUUGACGGUACCUAAUCAGAAAGCCACGGCUAACUACGUG